Long non-coding RNA from Brassica rapa (field mustard), 471 nucleotides. RefSeq lists it as uncharacterized. NCBI's taxonomy places the organism in Eukaryota, Viridiplantae, Streptophyta, Magnoliopsida, Brassicales, Brassicaceae. The record is from RefSeq and is a predicted model, not a curated record.
UUUCAUCUAAGUGAAAGGUGUGCAGAGCAAUUACAAGAGCCAGAGCCAGAACCAGAAGAAGGAAGAGUACUGAGCUGGACUGCAGCUGCCAUAGCCUUCGCAGUUCGCACCUGGACUCACCCUCGUGUUGACAACUGGUUACAUCGUGGCUACACAAAAGCCUCACUGGUUCAUGAGAUAUCUAGCGUGAUAAAGCUUGGACGCAGAGGAUCCUGUUAGGUCACUUCAAUAGCAAGUUUGAGAAGCUACAGCCAAAGAUACCCUAAAGUGAGGAGCAAUGACUACGAAGUUGAGAUCUUUCCUCUCCCAAUACGCUUGGUUAUGUACGGUACAAGAAAUACUUUCUUCUUGUAGGCGCAUAUGCAUGCAGCUCUUUAUUGGAAACAAAAUGAAUAAUAGAAUCGUUAUUGACCAUUUAAGAUUUGUUGAAUAGAUUUUAUAUAUAUAUAUGUACGAUAUUAUCAAAACAAA